RNAcentral lists this long non-coding RNA (1687 nucleotides) under Pelobates cultripes (western spadefoot toad). Lineage: Eukaryota; Metazoa; Chordata; Amphibia; Anura; Pelobatidae. The record is from RNAcentral.
GGCGGAUCUCCGUGACUAGUCUACGUUUGGGGAAGACGCACGGGGCUCAAGUUCUCGUGGCAGUCGAGCACUGUAGACACUCCUUCUCCCCUCCUUUCUUAUACCUCCUCUAUCCAUCUGUCAUUAACGAGUGGCACGUUUUGUUUGGUCAAGAUGGGGCAGGAACAUGCUAGACCUGCUAAAGGUUUAUUGGCUUGUGAUAUUGUGAAAGAAAGGGCAGGGGAAGAUGCUAUGAUGAAACUUAAAAAGAUUGCCAAGGUGUGUGGCUUUCAGAUGUUACCCAGUGGGAGAUUGCAACCGGAGUUUUGGAGAAAGCUACUCAUAGAUAAGGAAGGUUUAUUGUUGGAUAACGGACUGACAAAGGUUGCAGAGGCUUGGUAUCGUGUAGCCAGAGGUUUGAAACGGGAAGGAUGGGUCGAGGAAGAGUUGGAAUUUGAAGGACAAAUUGUGCAUGUUUACCAUAGGAGUGUUCACAAUGAUGAUGUUGUUUCCAUUGUUCCACGGCCACCACCCUAUGAUGGCGCCCAGAGCGCAACAGUAAAUUCCCGCCCUGCUUCUCCCGUCACAGCUCAGACCCCACCCCCCGGGGGUGUGCCUACAGCCCCCACUCCCCUAUGUCCUGUACUCGGUGUAGACGGAGCUUACUAUUUCCCAGUGCCACAUCACUCGUUCCCACCCACUCCCAUGCCCCAACCCUCCUGUGACCAGACCCCCUCUUUCAACCAUCAUCCCGCCAUGUCCAUCGGAGCCCCCCCACCUCCAUGCCCUCCGUUACCUUUCCCAGCGCCAGUCCUCACCCCGAGCACUGCCCCGACUAUUCCCGCCUCGACCAUGGAAGUUCCAUCCCCCUCCUCCUCCCAGUCCCUCUCCACUUUGAGUACCCCUUCCCUAGUAGUCCCCGCUCCUUCUCCCUCUCCGUCCGUCCUACGUCCUACACCCCCCGCUCCUACCUACCCAACCGACCCUGUCUCCCCGGACCCCUGUCCCCCGGUCGACUCUCCCUCCCCGGUAUCCUCAGGAAACCCUGUGACCCCCAGCCCUGCACCUCCAUUGUCCCCCACCCCUUCUCAUCUCCUCUCCUCCUCCUCCUCAUCUUCCAAAGAUCCCCCGUCCCUACUCUCCGCUCUCAUGAAUCUUGUUCAGCCCGUUAGUCCCGGUUCCUUUACCUCCGGCCCCCUAUCCACAGUUACCCCUCCCAUCCUCAAGGACCCUCUUACUCCUCCUCCAGCGUUACCUCCUCCUGAAACCCCAGCCCCCUCUGCCCUGUUGCCUCCUACUCCCGCGGCCGAUUUGCCGUCCCUAAUCUCCGCCCUCACCGCCCUAACCCAACCCAUUGCCGUCACCCCUCUUACUCCUCCUCCAGCGUUACCUCCUCCUGAAACCCCAGCCCCCUCUGCCUUGUUGCCUCCUACUCCCGCGGCCGAUUUGCCGUCCCUAAUCUCCGCCCUCAGCACCCUAACCCAGCCUCCCGUCGCAAUCCCCCCGGCCUCUUUUCCCCUGUUACCACCCCCCGACAUCCCUGCCCCCCCGACCCUGACACAGGCCCUUGGUCCCGUCCCUCCGACCCUUUCCCCCAUGACCCCUGACACACACAUGACCAAUGACCUGUCCGGCUCAAUAUCCGCCCUCUUCACUGCUGUUACUUCCCUAGUUACUUCCGCGACCCCCGUACCACCUCCCAUUGACG